RNAcentral lists this ribosomal RNA (481 nucleotides) under uncultured bacterium. RNAcentral describes it as "bacterial SSU rRNA". It matches the Rfam family "Bacterial small subunit ribosomal RNA", at positions 29 to 506 of the family's 1533-position model. The record is from RNAcentral.
AUUAACGCUGGCAGCGUGCAUAACACAUGCAAGUCGAGCGGAGUGUUUGAGAUUACAUCAAGAGCACUUAGCGGCAGACGAGUGAGUAACACGUAAGAAAUCUACCCUAGAGCGGGGAAUAACCAGUCGAAAGAUUGGCUAAUACCCCGUACGAUCGGAGGAGGGCAUCCUCAUCCGAUGAAAGGCCCGCAAGGGUCGCUCUUGGAGGAUCUUGCGGCCUAUCAGCUAGUUGGCGGUGUAACGGACCACCAAGGCGAUGACGGGUAGCCGGCCUGAAAGGGCGAUCGGCCACGGAGGCACUGAGAAACGGGCCUCACUUCUACGGAAGGCAGCAGUGGGGAAUUUUGGACAAUGGGCGAAAGCCUGAUCCAGCAACGCUGCGUGAGGGACGAAGGUCUUCGGAUUGUAAACCUCUUUUCCCAGGGACGAAAUCCCGCAAGGGUCUGACGGUACCUGGGGAAUAAGCCACGGCUAACUACGU